AAUUCGAAAUUUUACCCUACAAGAACACAUAGCUAACAGCUAACUGUGUUAACCAAAUUCUGAUUCACAGUUAUCAGACCUGGUAGAAUCAGAUCAAUAAAGAAAUAAGGCAGAAAUCUGGGUUUUAGAAGCUCACCUGGACGUCCAUGUUCGGGGACAACACCCCAAUUUUGUCAACACUGGUAUGACAUUAGAAAGUUUUACAGAUUUUUUGGCGUAUUGCAUAGAAAUCCCCAAAAACAAAACAAAAAACAAAAAACGAAGAAAAUAUAUCUCAAGGCAUCAGGGAGAGGUUUUGUAAGAAAUAAUAAAAUAGUGAAUCGAUUCUUGUUAUAUAUACUUAACUGAUCAAAGAAUAGAAACAAUAAUAAUUGAACAGUACCAACAAAGAAAAUCUUUUUUAUUGAUAAAGUAAAUGCAGAACAAAAUCUGAAAAAAAACUAAUAUCUCGGAAUACAGAAUAACAUUUGAAAAUAUUAUAAUGCUCCAAUCAAAUAAUCCUUGUAGUUGUAUUUAUUAAAAUCAGUGAAUCAAUAUUUAACCUUUCAAUA
This is a non-coding RNA of Hydra vulgaris (swiftwater hydra), 551 nucleotides long. The record is from RefSeq and is a predicted model, not a curated record. Lineage: Eukaryota; Metazoa; Cnidaria; Hydrozoa; Anthoathecata; Hydridae.